RNAcentral lists this long non-coding RNA (975 nucleotides) under Gossypium barbadense (sea-island cotton). RNAcentral describes it as "long non-coding RNA (GBAR_LNC022140)". Lineage: Eukaryota; Viridiplantae; Streptophyta; Magnoliopsida; Malvales; Malvaceae. The record is from RNAcentral.
UUCAAAAAAAAAAUAAACAGAGAGGAGCUCUCUCUCUCCCUCAUUCUCUCGGGCCUUGGCACCGGUCAUCGGCUGAUUAAGGUCUCUGGCGCUCCUCCACCUUAGUACCGCCGCGUGCGGUUGCCGGCGACUCAAAAUCGGAUCUUUUUUAUCCUUUUUUGAAGCCGGGCUUCUCUUAGGCACAAAUCCAAGGCCAAACCCCGAAAAAAGGAGCCCGAAGCCUGAAGAACGAGGGAAGACCGCUCAUCUUCUCCUCCCAGACACGGCGCAGGUAAGGUCCCUUUCUCUAUUUUUAUUAUGUAAAAAAACCAUACAAACGAAGAGAAAAAAAAACGAAAAUAGAGAAAAAAAACUAAACAGAAAUGAGAGAAAAUCACCUCUCAAAUAUUCUUGUUUUUAUUUCUUUUUUGUUAAUGUCUGUUUCUUUUUGUUACAAAAGUUCUUUUUUUUUUCAAAUUUCUUUUGUUGGCUUUUUAUAACUGAUUGUGUCAUCAUUUUCAUUGCUAUGAUUGUCCCUUCUUUCCUCUUUGCAGGCGUUUGAAGCAGGCGACAGUAGGUGCGGCGUAGCAGUUGGUGGCUUGCGGCGCUGGUCAGAGGCAGGGUGGGUAGCUGGCGGCAGCUAGGGUUUCAAAAAACUGAAACCCUAGUUUGGCUAUUGUCUUUUGGGCCUGUUAGGCUAUUUUUUAAUUUGGGCCUGUUUGGGUUUCGGGUUUGGGUGCAAAUUUGGUUUUGUUUAGGGUCUGUUUUUGGGUUGGGGUGUUUAUGGGUUAUGUUGUAUUGGGUUUUAGGUCUAUUGGAAAUGGGCCGGGGUUUUUAGAUUAAGUGGGUUUGGUACUGAAAUUUUGGGUAGUGGGCCCGGGCAAUAAAUUGGGCUGUACAACGAUCCGAUCACGUUAUAUCGCUUCGCAUGCAAAAGCCAUUGAAGAUAAUAUACGAAGAUAUCAAUGAAAUUGAUGAUUAUUUUGUUCGAAAAAU